RNAcentral lists this ribosomal RNA (405 nucleotides) under uncultured bacterium. RNAcentral describes it as "bacterial SSU rRNA". It matches the Rfam family "Bacterial small subunit ribosomal RNA", at positions 123 to 541 of the family's 1533-position model. The record is from RNAcentral.
AACUUGCCCUCUAGACUGGGACAACUGUUGGAAACGACAGCUAAUACCGGAUAUUAUGAGAUUCUCGCAUGGGAAACUUAUGAAAGGCUAUAUGCGCUAGAGGAGAGCUUUGCGUGCCAUUAGGUAGUUGGUAGGGUAAUGGCCUACCAAGCCGACGAUGGCUAGCCGGCCUGAGAGGGUGAUCGGCCACAAGGGGACUGAGACACGGCCCUUACUCCUACGGGAGGCAGCAGUGGGGAAUAUUGGACAAUGGACAAAAGUCUGAUCCAGCAAUUCUGUGUGCACGAUGAAGGUUUUCGGGUCGUAAAGUGCUUUCAGCAGGGAAGAAAAAAAUGACGGUACCUGCAGAAGAAGCGACGGCUAAAUACGUGCCAGCAGCCGCGGUAAUACGUAUGUCGCAAGCGU